Molecule: ribosomal RNA, 283 nt
Filed under: uncultured Peptoniphilus sp.
Lineage: Bacteria; Bacillati; Bacillota; Tissierellia; Tissierellales; Peptoniphilaceae
Description: partial 16S ribosomal RNA
Rfam family: Bacterial small subunit ribosomal RNA
Source: RNAcentral
GGGCGAAGAUAAGACGGAUUAGCGCGGACGGGUGAGUAACACGUGAGUAACCUGCCUUUUACACAGGGAUAGCCUCGGGAAACCGGGAUUAAAACCUGAUGAAACUAUCAAAUCACAUGAUUAAGAAAGUUAAAACUCCGGUGGUAAAAGAUGGACUCGCGUCCCAUUAGCUAGUUGGUGAAGGUAACGGCCCACCAAGGCAACGAUGGGUAGCCGGCCUGAGAGGGUGAACGGCCACAUUGGAACUGAGAAACGGUCCAAACUCCUACGGGAGGCAGCAGAU